CUAACUUUGUCAGGUAUUCAAAUUUCCAUGCCACAGGACGACCAAAUUCAUAAAGUUCAUUCUUAAUAAAAGAAGUUGUACAAAGCAUAACAAGUAAAAAACUUGAUUUGCAUAGGAAAUGUCAUAAAACUUUAGUUCAUAAAAUUCAAAAUUAAGCAAAAAAUAUAAAGCAAAUCAGAAACCAGGUAAAGCAACCUUAGACAUAAGAACUCGAUAGCUAUUAGAUUGAGUAGGAGCCCUGUGUAGGAAAACAAUUGUUCCCCGUUGGCUGUCAGUCUCAGGUGAUCCUGCAUCCCCAAGAAAAAAUAAAUUGUUGAACAAAGUACAUAACAGAAGAGGGAAUAAAGAAAUGUUGCCAUAGAGCCAGAUGGCACUACUGCUGUAAGGAUUAUUUGUGACCAAACCAAAAGGAUUAAAUGCUGGUGCAUGAUCUUCGUCUUUGUUUUUGCUGCCUUCACUGUUCGUGGCAUUUGCUGUAAGUGCAGUUGCCCUUCUUGUGCGGUUUUUCGAACAGGAGAAAGAAAGCCCAGGCCAUUUGUCUGGUGGCUUGUGUGUGUUUCUGUUAUGAGUGUUUAGAUUUUAACUGGACAACUGAAACCACUUCAAAAAAUGUCUUUUUUUUGUGGAUGUAAAUUUUAGUUGAGGGCAUUGG
This 652-nucleotide unclassified non-coding RNA is filed under the name Hevea brasiliensis (rubber tree). The record is from RNAcentral. Lineage: Eukaryota; Viridiplantae; Streptophyta; Magnoliopsida; Malpighiales; Euphorbiaceae.